GGAAGAUAAGCGAAUGGCUAGCGGCCUCAUUGGAAAUGAGGUGCCCCGGUCAGGGGUUGCGAGUUCGAGUCUCGUGUCUUCCG
This 83-nucleotide transfer RNA is filed under the name Planctomycetaceae bacterium. RNAcentral's name for it is "tRNA-Ser". It matches the Rfam family "tRNA". From Rfam's summary of the family: Transfer RNA (tRNA) molecules are approximately 80 nucleotides in length. Their secondary structure includes four short double-helical elements and three loops (D, anti-codon, and T loops). Further hydrogen bonds mediate the characteristic L-shaped molecular structure. tRNAs have two regions of fundamental functional importance: the anti-codon, which is responsible for specific mRNA codon recognition, and the 3' end, to which the tRNAs corresponding amino acid is attached (by aminoacyl-tRNA synthetases). tRNAs cope with the degeneracy of the genetic code in two manners: having more than one tRNA (with a specific anti-codon) for a particular amino acid; and 'wobble' base-pairing, i.e. permitting non-standard base-pairing at the 3rd anti-codon position. The record is from RNAcentral. Lineage: Bacteria; Pseudomonadati; Planctomycetota; Planctomycetia; Planctomycetales; Planctomycetaceae.